AGGACGAACGCUGGCGGCGUGCUUAACACAUGCAAGUCGAACGAGGCCCUACCUUCGGGUAGGUGACCUAGUGGCGAACGGGUGAGUAACACGUGGGCAACCUACCCUCAGCUCUGGGAUAACACCGGGAAACCGGUGCUAAUACCGGAUAUGACCUGGAACGACAUCGUUCUUGGUGGAAAGUUUUUUCGGCUGAGGAUGGGCCCGCGGCCUAUCAGCUUGUUGGUGGGGUAAUGGCCCACCAAGGCGACGACGGGUA
This 259-nucleotide ribosomal RNA is filed under the name uncultured bacterium. RNAcentral describes it as "partial small subunit ribosomal RNA". It matches the Rfam family "Bacterial small subunit ribosomal RNA", at positions 26 to 285 of the family's 1533-position model. The record is from RNAcentral.